AGCGGAGCAUGUGGUUUAAUUCGAAGCAACGCGAAGAACCUUACCAGAUCUUGACAUCCAAUUGACCAUCUUUUAAUCGAGAUUUUGCCUUCGGGUACAAUUGAGACAGGUGGUGCAUGGUUGUCGUCAGCUCGUGUCGUGAGAUGUUGGGUUAAGUCCCGCAACGAGCGCAACCCUUGUGUUUAGUGCAAACAGGUCAAGCUGUGCACUCUAGACAGACUGCCGUGGACAACCGGAGGAAGGUGGGGACGACGUCAAGUCAUCAUGGCCCUUAUGUCCUGGGCCACACACGUGCUACAAUGGCCGGUACAGAGCGCAGCGAGGCCGCGAGGCGGAGCGAAUCGCUUAAAGCCGGUCCCAGUACGGAUUGGAGUCUGCAACCCGACUCCAUGAAGUUGGAAUCGCUAGUAAUCGCGCAUCAGCAUGGCGCGGUGAAUACGUUCCCGGGCCUU
This 452-nucleotide ribosomal RNA is filed under the name uncultured Fusibacter sp. RNAcentral describes it as "bacterial SSU rRNA". It matches the Rfam family "Bacterial small subunit ribosomal RNA", at positions 931 to 1382 of the family's 1533-position model. Lineage: Bacteria; Bacillati; Bacillota; Clostridia; Eubacteriales; Fusibacteraceae. The record is from RNAcentral.